Molecule: long non-coding RNA, 6587 nt
Organism: Neofelis nebulosa (Clouded leopard)
Lineage: Eukaryota; Metazoa; Chordata; Mammalia; Carnivora; Felidae
Exons: 5
Source: RefSeq, a predicted model, not a curated record
GGCAGAGAGAGAGGGAGAUACAGAAUCCAAAGCAGGCUCCAGGCUCUGAGCUGUCAGCACAGAGCCCAACGAGGGGCUCGAACCCAUGAACAUGAGAUCAUGACCUGAGCCCAAGUUGGAUGCUUAACUGACUGAGCCACCCAGGCAUCCCUUUUUCUACUUGUCUAAAUUUUUCCAACAUUUCAUAGGAAUUUGCAUUACUUUUGGAAUCAGAAAAAUUGCUUGUAUAUAAAGAUUACACAUUGAUUCUAUUUAAAAAUUUUUUUAAUGUUUAUUUGUAAGAGAGAGAGAGAGACAGACUGUGAGCUGGGGAGGGGCAGACAGAGAGGCAGACACAGAAUCUGCAGCCCGUUUCAGGCUCUGAACUGUCAGCACAGAACCCCACACAAGGCUCCAACUCACAAACAGUGAGAUCAUAUCCUGAGUUGAAGUCAGACACUGAACUGACUGAGCCACCCAGGGGCCCCAAGAUUAAACAUUGAUUUUAAAUAAGGACUGGCUAACACGAUUCAGAAGGAUGGUCUUGAAAACCUGAUUGGGAGGACUAAAUACUUCGGAGGCAGAAGUGACAAACAUUUGGGCUAACUGGAUAUGGGAGAAAGAAGGAGGCAAGAGUCAAAGAUCUGUAUUCUUCCUCACUCCCUUCUCCUUGGCAGCAGGUGGAGCAAUCCUAUUAAAAUAAAAUCCAGAUCAAUUUCCUCCUCUGCUCUAAACCCUCCAGUGGCUCCCACCUGACUCAGAAUAAAAGCCAGAAUCCUUAGCCACUUACAGGGACCCACAUACCGAACUUAGGGUUAUCCCUGACAUGGUGGUCUUACCCUCUCCUUCCUUCUGCCCUCUGCUCCGACUGCCUCACUGUGCUGAACAUGCCCCAGGACCUUUGUACUUACCAUCUCCUUGCCUGCAAUGCUUUGUGAAAUCUCUGUGUUUUGCUCCCCUCACCUAUUCCCUUCUCACCGAGGCCUUUUCCUGGGCACCCUCUCCAAAACUGCAAUCCUCUGGCACUCCCAUCCUUUUGUUGCUUAAUAUUUAUCCCCAGAACACAUCAUAACUAUAUAUUUUACUUACUUGUUUGGUUUUUGUCUCUUCCAUUAGCAUAUAAAUUGCAGGAGGGCAGGGGUUUUGUUUUGUUCACAGCUCCUGGCACGGUAUUAAUACUGAGUAAAUGCUUGUUGAAUCUAAAUAAAGAACUCAAGUGUUCCAUUUACCUCCAGGGAACAUCAGAUCUGCCAUCAUUUAGUAAAAGGCAUUUGGUGGCUUGACUCUUUUCAAUUGUAAAUUCUCUUGGUUCAUUUAAAGUUACAGUCCAUUUUUAAGGAUUCCAUUUCCACGUGAUUUGUUGGUUUGUUUUCAGGAACAACAUCACUCUGUUUGUGGCUUCCAGGCUGAUGUCCCCACCUCACCAGGGGACGCCAGACGAGGAUGUCGGCCCCUGAGACUUUCCUAGGAGAAGCAUGGCUAACACCGUGGAGUGUUUCCACGGCCAGGAGCUAGCUAGCUGCUCUGUGUAUCUCAUCUGCUUUCUCUCUUACUCUCGAGAGCCAGCCUCUGAGGGAAGCAUGGUCAUUGUCUCCAUUUCUCAGGUGCCUGGGUACCCGUGGGCCACACCGGUGACCACAUGGCCCCGCAGAAAACAGGGGAAGGCACUGCACAGCCAGCCACUGGCAAGACAGGGUUGAGGGGAAAUCACUGCUUCUGGUCCUUCGGGCAAAUUACCUACCGCAUCUGAGGCUAGUUUCUUUAUCAGUGAAACGAAGGUAACAUCUGCUUACCUGCUAGUGGGUGCUAGUGGGACCGGCUGGAAUUCAUGAAACCCCGGUGAGUGCUAAGUGUUUUGUUGGUAAGUUACUAGGAGCGAUGGAGUGUUAGAGGGUUUCCAGUGAGGAUGUGCGGGCAGGGUGAUGGAUAAAGAGAUCAGUUUGCACUGUUGACAUUGAACCGCGUCUGUGAUGCACUUGCAGCCUUCAGAGUCGGAAGCCGGGCGGGAGCCUGUUCUGAGCCCCCGAGGCCAGCGCACCGAAGGGACCCUCAGAUGUUCCCCAGAAUGUGUCCCUCUCCUCACCGAGCCAGAGCCUGUCCCCUGCUGUGACAGAUACCUAACAAGACUCGUUGACACUCUAACUGUUUGCUCCCAAGUGGCCCAUAAGAACAUUAUUUAUUUUUUAAAUAAAGAUCUGCAGACCAGCUCUCCACAAAGUAAGGUUGGGGACGGCCCAAGUCGACUGAAGAGCUGGCCUGGAGCAGGUGUGCUGGGAAGGGGUUAACGGCCGGCUCUCUGGGGGCAGAGUGCUUCACGGGCCACACACACUAUAGAGUAACUCGCAUAAAGGAUGUAUAUAGAGCACACAAAGUACAAUAACUUUAUCCCUUAUUCCAAUCAGUAGAGAUGUCACUGACGUCACCGAAAAAUGAGUGCCGCUCUGAUAUGAAUGUUAGCUGAGGUUUGUAAAAUUUUUAAUUUAAUAUUUUUGCUUUUAGAGAGUGCUUAUGUGUGCACACAAGCAGGGAAGGGGCAGAGGGAGAGAGAGUCUUUUUUUUUUUUUUUUUUUUAAUGCUUUGGCUUUUGAGAGAGAGGGUGAGCGGGGGAAGGGCAGAGAUCGAGGGAGACAGAGGAUCUCAAGCAGGCUCUGCACUGACAACAGGGAGUGCAACGUGGGGCUCGAACUCACAAACCAUGAGAUUAUGACCUGAGCUGAAGUUGGACGCUCAACCAACUGAGCCCCCGAGGCGCCCGAGAGAGAGAACCUUAAGCAGACUCCACGCUCAGUGUGGAGCCUGACGUGGGGCUCGGUCCCAUGACCCUGGGAUCAUGACCUGCGUGGAAAUCAGGAGUUGACGCUCAACGCUUAGCACACUGAGCCCCCCGGGUGCCCCAUGCUGCUGGUUUCAUUUAUGUUAACGAGUAAGACAGAUCCUAAACGAAGGAGGUUUGUGUCAGAACAUCCCUGCCCGUCAUGCCACAAGUGAAUUCUUUGCCGAAUUGGCUCAUGGCGGGUCAGGUGUGGAAAGACUCCUUCCCUCAUGUUUCUGUGCUAGUCACGUCGUGGCUGCAGGCACGAAACUUUUAGUUUGUAUUCUUCACGUCUCUCCACCACUUUCUUAAUCCUAGAUGAUCAAGAAAACAAUAGAUCAAGUUUGCUCAUAUCUGGGAGCACAUACCCCCCCCCCCCCGACGGCCGCUUGUGAGCUCUCAGUGUGAUGUUGCUGAGCUGAGUCAUGAAGACAGGUGCUUCUUCCCGGUAGCUGGUGUUGCCAUCGUUCAGAUGGCGGGGAAAAAUGGAAGAGUGUGGAUUAACGGUGAAACACAGUAGGUAAUGACUGAGUUUUGAUGACUGAUUACCUUUGUUUUUACCAAAGCUCAUUAAUUUUAGUAAUGAUUCUAUUUAACAGCAAAAUUCUGAAAAUGGGGCAGUGGGUUCUCGCGGGUGAUGUCAAGCUGGCUGCAGCAGGUGUGGCCACAGGGACCCUACACCGAGGGGAGCUCUGCCCCCCAGGAUGUCCGGAGGAGAGCCAGUUGCCGGGUGUCCUCUGAGGCCCUGUGGGGUCAGGUGGUUGUUAGGGCCCUUGAAAGCCAUGAACGACCUAUCCUUCCUCAUCCUCCACAUUCCCGCCUGGCGAGGAAGCCCGUCAGGAAGCCGUCCUGACUGGCAGGCUGGAGACCAGGCGUGAAUUUGGGGACAUGAGGGAGAAUGUCACUCUGUUGCCCCACCCUCGCACACACGGGCACCCUACUAUCCUCCUAGUUUCCUCUUAGGACAUGGCUGGGACUGGAGUCCCAGACCGGGGACACCCAUUACUGUUUUGGAGGUGUGUGUCUUUGGGCCAAGUAUUCUCCUGAGUCUCUGAGCCUCAUUUUCCUCAGAGCACAAUGGGGAUGCUCUGGCCAAUGGCUGUGAGGAGAGGGAUGGACAGGAGGCAGCUCACAGCUGCAUCCUCCACAGACCCCAGGGGCUGGGGUAGUUUUUCCCGCACCAGAGUUCUUCAUGAGAGCUUCAGGGAGCUGGAAACGUCCUCAUAUCUCCAGAUCCCAUGACAAAGAGGAAUGACUUCCAUCUUCCACAAUUCAGGGGUGAGCGCAGCACCCAGGAGCUGUGCAUUCUCAGCCAGAAGGACUUGCAGGGGAACAAAGUUGACGGUGUUGAGCAGGCCUUCCAGAGUGUUCUGUGAUCAGCCCCAGACUGAGCUUCUUCACUCUUUUUCCAUCUCUGUUUCACUCUUUUUCCGUCUCUGUUUCACUCUUUUCCACCUUUUUGGGUUUGGUCACUCUGAGCGGUAUGCAGGAGGCAUUUACUGUGGGGAAUCAGGCCACAUGCGGUUGUGGGAGCUGGUGAAGAAGUCCAGGGAAGGCUGUGCCUCUGGGUGGGCAGGGCUGGCUGUUGUAGAGAAAAGCAGAUGUGAAUGGGGGCAAGGAGAGGCUGGAAACCACGGGCACAGAGUGGCCCUGAGUCUAUCACCUCCCACCUCUGUGACAUGGUGACCUGUUGGAGCUGGCUGCACACAUACCUAGUCCGGGGCUCGGAACCCAUCAAUGAAACAGAGGCGCCACUGGAUGGUUUCUGUCUGAGCCAACAGUGGGCACCGGCCACCCAAUGACACUGUGGGAGCCACGAAAGCACCCAGCUUAGCCAAGUUGAUGUGGUGAAAAGCCACCACCGCACUAUGCUUCUGGAGUACCAAGUGCUUUUGGACCUUCUUGUCGUUCUUCCAGGUUCCUAUGCCUCUGCAUGGAGUGUUUGCUCCAGCCAUGGCACCUGGAAAACUCCUACAGCACCUUCAAAACCCUGCAGAGACAUCACCUCCUCUGAGAAGAAUUCCCUGACACCUGCCCUCCAGGACUAGCCCUGUACUUCACACAUGGUGACUGCCUCUGUUGUACCUGAGACAUGCCUCAAGGGGACAAGCUGUGCCUGUUUGACAGCUCAGGAAUUUAAACAUGCCUUUGUGGGAUGAAAUCGAAUACAUCAGUUCAUGAUGCUCUGCCAGCCAAGCUGGGGCUUCUGGUGUCCUGGGGCCAUGUGAACGGAGCAGAGACACCGCCAGCGCCUAUGUUCUCCGGGACCUUCUUGAGCUGUGGCCGCUGCUCCCAGGGUGUGCAAAGUCCCAGGCAGCUGAUGCGGACCCGUGUCUGUGGCGCCCAUGAAAGACGGUGCUUUCAUGAGAGCGGCCUGCCCUUUCUGAGCCCUUCUGCGAGCCGUGGGAUUCCAAAUGCUCUGAAUGCAUUAGCUGACGCUCACACGGUCCCCAUGAGAUAGACGCCCUGCGGCAGAUGAGGAAGCCAGCCUGGAGGAUCACAGUGUAAGGGGAAGUUCUAGAGCAAAGACGAGAAGGAGGGAUCUGUGUGUGGCAGGAUAGGGCCAAGAAUACACUCCAGGUGAACCUGUACCGAGCUCCGGGAACGAGAGUGUCUGGGUAUGCAGAGCCACUUUCAGUAACAGAAGGUAGGUGGUGGACAAGUAACCUCACUCUUCUGCUAGAAGAUGCUGGUCUUCCAGCAGCUCUUACCAAAUGGGCUUUUGCGGCACUAGUCAAACGUUCUAAGACUUUUGUGCCAUAGCAGCAGAAUCUGUGUUCUCUGUCCCCUCUCCUUUGGGUGAAGAUGCCUAAUUGUGAUAUUGGCAGGCUGCGUAGGGACUGCUGGCCCAUCGCAGAUCGGCCUCUGUCCCGGUGCUGGGGCAAGUGGCCGGAGUGGUCACCCUGGGACCAGACAGGCAUGAACCCCUUCCAAGGCUCCUGAGGCCUCACACCCCACCACUAAUGCUUUGUUCCUGUUCUACUCUUUUUGGCAGAGGGAAGAGCGACACAAGGCUCUUGAGUCCUUGACUAUUUUGUCAGACACACUACAGUUUGGUAAACUGAGAACUUGGGGCCAUGGUUCUGGCUGAUUCAGGCUGUGUGGGGCUGAGCCUCCUCUGAAGUCCAGGGGUCCUGGACUGUCCAGCCUGGCUCCCCUGCAGAGGGGGCAGCCCCUACUUUAUUAAGGUUUAUACUACAAACUGAGGGUCGACCACUGAUGCCUUUGGAACAUUCGGCUUUCCUGACUCACAGAAACCCUGAGGUACAGAAAUCCCAGGGGAACACACUACACAGUCGUCUGGGGCUAGUCUCUUGUUCCGAUUUUUUUUAUGUUCAUGUGUCUCCCUCCCCGUAAUCCCUCCAACAAACAAAUACAUGAGCCAGUCCACAUAUGCUCACCGAAUUCCUGUUUGCACAGAUACAACAUAAAUAUCCCAUGUGCAGAGAGCAGGGACUCUUAAUAUUACAAAAUAUAUUAGUUUCUCUUCCCCUGUCUCUGCUGAGGUCAUGAAUGAAAUGGAACAAAACAAAAAAAAGCAAACCAACCCACACCCACCUACAUGAAAACAAAAUGCUCUUUGGACCAAGAGUAAUUGAAAACUGGCUCAGGAUAAGAUCACUACAACAUCUGCAUGAACGGAGACAGAAUCCACAACACGAGGCACCUGGUGAGAACAAGCAGCAUCUCACCCAAGUGCAAGCCCUCUCAGACCCACCAGGCAGCAAGCUGAUGUUUCUAGAACACACGUGGGGAUGCUCAGGCAUCGUGUGAGGUCAUCCUUGUCCCCUCAGUU